CCCUUAGAUGUUCUGGGCUGCACGCGCGCUACACUGAAGCUAUCAACACGUUUUCCCUCCCUGAGAAGGGCGGGUAACCUUUUGAAUCAGCUUCGUGGUAGGGAUCGGGGCUUGCAAUUGUUCCCCGUGAACCAGGAAUUCCUAGUAGACGCGAGUCAUAAGCUCGCAUCGAUUAAGUCCCUGCCCUUUGUACACACCGCCCGUCGCUCCUACCGAUUGAGUGGUCCGGUGAGGCUUUGGGAUCUGAGCAAAAAGAGCGUUUCGCUCGUUUGGCUCGGAAAACUCAGUCGAACCUUAUCAUUUAGAGGAAGGAGAAGUCGUAACA
This 325-nucleotide ribosomal RNA is filed under the name uncultured eukaryote. RNAcentral's name for it is "partial 18S ribosomal RNA". It matches the Rfam family "Eukaryotic small subunit ribosomal RNA", at positions 1470 to 1796 of the family's 1831-position model. The record is from RNAcentral.